ACUUUGGUUGUUCUAUGCAGUAUAUAUUGAUGUUGAGUUGCAUCAUCUUUAAGUCCGUCUUUUUCUCUUUAAAAUAGAUUAUCAUUUACCUAUUUCUCGUGCAGUUUUUUGAACAUGGAAUGGCAUCUCAGAGGAGAGAAAUGGCUAGCAUACUCUUUGGGCAUGUACUAACGCUGAGCCUUCAAAUGUAUAGUUGUCAUUUGAUACAAAAGAUAUACCGAAGUGAAUCUAGAAAUGCUCAUAUGUGCUCAAGUGUUAUCUGCUAGCAUUUAUCUUUUGUUUUGGUUCUUAUUCUAAUAUACUAAAUGUAGCACCAACCAGUGGGCUCUCUGGGCUUAUUAUCAGCUUCUCAAUAACUUGAGUUAUAUUGAGAUAAAAGUUGUGAUAUGAUUCACUCUACAGGAAAUUAAAGUUGUUGACAUGUACCAGAAGAUUAAAAUGGUUGAGUAGCUUGAUGGUCAUGUAAUAUGUUGUGUACGAGAUCAGAAUGGGAAUCAUGUCAUUUAGAAAUGUAUUGAAUGUGUACCAGAAGAUCACAUUCAAUUUAUCGUCUCAGCACUUUUUGGACAAGUUAUUACUCUCUCUACCCAUUCAUAUGGCUGUCGAGUAAUACCGGUAGUUGAGUAAUGUGUCUUAUUCUUAUCCAUUUGUCGUAAUAAUUUUGUUUGAUAUUUACUAAUAUUCCUUGAUCAUUCGGAGAGUAUUGGUACACUGUAGCAAUCCAGAAACUCAAAGCAAACUGAUGGAAGAAAUCCUGGAAUCUGUAAGCAUGUUGGGAUAAGAUCAAUAUGGUAAUUAUGUUGUUCAGGUAUGAAAUACUCGCUGCUAAGCAUGUUUUUAAACAAGGUAAAAUUUUGUCAACAGAGCUGCCACCGCUUCCUUCAGCUGACGUAAGAAAAUUGUCAUAGACAUAUAUUAAAUAUUUAAUAUUCCACAUUUCAUUUCAUUGAUUGAUGGUUGUCCUGCUUUUUUCUUAUUUAUAAGAAGAUACUUUAUCUCAUCGCUUUAGAGCCAAUAAUGAGGUCUAUACUCUUUCUACUCUAAAGUGCAAUUCCACAAGUGGAGUUUGGAGAAGGUAACAUGUACGCAGACGUUACCUCUACCUCGAAAAGAUUAUGGAGCUGAAACAACAGCUGAUGUUCCAAGAUCUUUGGAAAGUUUAAUAUCAAUAACUAUGGAUGAGUUGUAUGAUGAACUUGAAUCUUUUCUUGAAAAUCUAAAACCCCCAUUUUACUUUCUUUGAUUUUGCUUAUUGGAUUAUUGAUAUGGCAUUAGAAAUUGGAGGUAUCAAGAAACUGUUAUAAAGUUGUUUGUCUUGGUACAUUGCUUUUAUUUUACAUCUUCAGUUGUUCUA
This is a long non-coding RNA of Capsicum annuum, 1354 nucleotides long. RefSeq lists it as uncharacterized. NCBI's taxonomy places the organism in Eukaryota, Viridiplantae, Streptophyta, Magnoliopsida, Solanales, Solanaceae. The record is from RefSeq and is a predicted model, not a curated record. The transcript is spliced from 2 exons.